Non-coding RNA from Otolemur garnettii (small-eared galago), 600 nucleotides. The record is from the annotation of a RefSeq genome assembly. NCBI's taxonomy places the organism in Eukaryota, Metazoa, Chordata, Mammalia, Primates, Galagidae.
AUGGACACAAGGGCCCCCACUCAGCUCCUGGGGCUCCUGCUACUCUGGCUCCUAGGUGCCAGCUGUGCCAUCCAGAUGACCCAGUCUCCAUCCUCCCUGUCAGCAUCUCUAGGAGACACAGUCACCAUCAGGUGCCAGGCCAGUCAAGGCAUUAACAAUGAGUUAAACUGGUAUCAGCAGAAACCAGGGGCAUCUCCCAAGCUGCUGAUCUAUGCUGCAUCUACUUUGCAAUCUGGGGUUCCCUCAAGGUUCAGUGGCAGUGGAUACGGAACAGAUUUCACUCUCACCAUCAGCGGACUACAGGCUGAAGAUGCUGCAACUUAUUACUGUCAAAACGAUUAUGGUACACCUCACAGUGUUACAAGCCUGAACAUAAACCCCCAGGGGAAGAAACUGUGUAAGGCUGGGCUGACCCAGCUGUUCCUCCUGGUGACUCCAUCUGCUGAGUGCAUUUCUCAGAGACAACAAGGCUCUGAAGGUCCCUGGGGGUGGGGGGGUGGGGGUGAUAAACGGGGCCUGGAGGCUCCUCUCCUCUCUAAGCUUCUCUUCUCUUCUUCAACCCAUAGAAACACUGACAUAGCAGUGACUAUCCUGUUUUAA